ACUCCUACGGGAGGCAGCAGUGGGGAAUAUUGCACAAUGGGGGAAACCCUGAUGCAGCAACGCCGCGUGAGUGAAGAAGGCCCUUGGGUUGUAAAGCUCUUUAGCGAGGGAAGAAGCUUCGUACGGUGAAUAAUCGUGCGGGAUGACGGUACCUCGAGAAUAAGCACCGGCUAAUUUCGUGCCAGCAGCCGCGGUAAUACGAAAGGUGCAAGCGUUACUCGGAAUCACUGGGCGUAAAGCGCACGUAGGCGGACUUACAGGUCAAUUGUGAAAUACCUGGGCUCAACCCAGGAACUGCAGUUGAAACCGUUUGUCUUGAAUACUUGAGAGGGUGGGGGAAUACCUGGUGGAGAAGUGAAAUUCGUAGAGAUCAGGUGGAACACCGGAGGCGAAGGCGCCUGCCUGGCAAUGUAUUGACGCUGAGGUGCGAAAGUGCGGGGAGCAAACAGGAUUAGAUACCCUGGUAGUCCGCACCGUAAACGAUGGAUACUAGGCGUUCGGAGAGUUAACCCUCUGAGUGCCAAAGUUCACACAUUAAGUAUCCCGCCUGGGAAGUACGGUCGCAAGACUAAAACUCAAAGGAAUUGACGGGGGCCCGCACAAGCGGUGGAGUAUGUGGUUUAAUUCGAAGCAACGCGCAGAACCUUACCUGGCCUUGACAUCGCGAGAUCGCCACAGAGAUGUGGUUUUGCCUUCGGGCACUCGUAGACAGGUGCUGCAUGGCUGUCGUCAGCUCGUGUUGUGAAAUGUUCGGUUAAGUCCGGCAACGAGCGCAACCCCUGUUCUCAGUUACCAGCAUUAAGUUGGGGACUCUGGGAAGACCGCCGGUGUUAAACCGGAGGAAGGCGGGGAUGACGUCAAGUCCUCAUGGCCCUUACGGCCAGGGCUACACACGUACUACAAUGGUAGAAACAGACGGCUGCAAGACCGCAAGGUGGAGCUAAUCCGUAAAACACUAUCUCAAUCCGGAUUGAAGUCUGCAACUCGACUUCAUGAAGUUGGAAUCGCUAGUAA
RNAcentral lists this ribosomal RNA (1014 nucleotides) under uncultured bacterium. Its description in RNAcentral is "bacterial SSU rRNA". It matches the Rfam family "Bacterial small subunit ribosomal RNA", at positions 335 to 1341 of the family's 1533-position model. The record is from RNAcentral.